Molecule: ribosomal RNA, 804 nt
Filed under: uncultured bacterium
Lineage: Bacteria
Description: bacterial SSU rRNA
Rfam family: Bacterial small subunit ribosomal RNA
Source: RNAcentral
AGAGUUUGAUCCUGGCUCAGAUUGAACGCUGGCGGCAGGCCUAACACAUGCAAGUCGAGCGGUAACACAGAGGAGCUUGCUCCUUGGGUGACGAGCGGCGGACGGGUGAGUAAUGCCUGGGGAUCUGCCCGAUAGAGGGGGAUAACUACGGGAAACUGUAGCUAAUACCGCAUAAUGUCUACGGACCAAAGUGGGGGCUCUUCGGACCUCAUGCUAUCGGAUGAACCCAGGUGGGAUUAGCUAGUUGGUGAGGUAAUGGCUCACCAAGGCGACGAUCUCUAACUGGUUUGAGAGAAUGACCAGUCACACUGGAACUGAGACACGGUCCAGACUCCUACGGGAGGCAGCAGUGGGGAAUAUUGCACAAUGGGCGCAAGCCUGAUGCAGCCAUGCCGCGUGUGUGAAGAAGGCCUUCGGGUUGUAAAGCACUUUCAGCGGGGAGGAAGGGUCACUAGUUAAUACCUAGUGGCAUUGACGUUACUCGCAGAAGAAGCACCGGCUAACUCCGUGCCAGCAGCCGCGGUAAUACGGAGGGUGCAAGCGUUAAUCGGAAUUACUGGGCGUAAAGCGCACGCAGGCGGUUUGUUAAGUCAGAUGUGAAAUCCCCGAGCUCAACUUGGGAACUGCAUUUGAAACUGGCAAGCUAGAGUCUUGUAGAGGGGGGUAGAAUUCCAGGUGUAGCGGUGAAAUGCGUAGAGGUAAGGAGGAAUACCGGUGGCGAAGGCGGCCCCCUGGACAAAGACUGACGCUCAGGUGCGAAAGCGUGGGGAGCAAAAAGGAUUAGAUACCCUGGUAGUCCACGCU